CUGCGCUCUUUCCACAUCCCUAUGUAUUUUUAAACAAAUGGAGGUCUCUAGUUAGGGCAGGUGGGCAUACCCUUUCAUGGCCAUUAGAGGUAACUAGAGACCUCCAUUUGUUUAAAAAUACAUAGGGAUGUGGAAAGAGCACAGGU
Non-coding RNA from Pelobates cultripes (western spadefoot toad), 146 nucleotides. The record is from the annotation of a GenBank genome assembly. NCBI's taxonomy places the organism in Eukaryota, Metazoa, Chordata, Amphibia, Anura, Pelobatidae.